RNAcentral lists this transfer RNA (84 nucleotides) under Amylibacter sp. Its description in RNAcentral is "tRNA-Leu". It matches the Rfam family "tRNA". Rfam says of the family: Transfer RNA (tRNA) molecules are approximately 80 nucleotides in length. Their secondary structure includes four short double-helical elements and three loops (D, anti-codon, and T loops). Further hydrogen bonds mediate the characteristic L-shaped molecular structure. tRNAs have two regions of fundamental functional importance: the anti-codon, which is responsible for specific mRNA codon recognition, and the 3' end, to which the tRNAs corresponding amino acid is attached (by aminoacyl-tRNA synthetases). tRNAs cope with the degeneracy of the genetic code in two manners: having more than one tRNA (with a specific anti-codon) for a particular amino acid; and 'wobble' base-pairing, i.e. permitting non-standard base-pairing at the 3rd anti-codon position. Lineage: Bacteria; Pseudomonadati; Pseudomonadota; Alphaproteobacteria; Rhodobacterales; Paracoccaceae. RNAcentral also lists the same sequence under 1 other name. The record is from RNAcentral.
GCCCGCGUGAUGGAAUGGUAGACAUAAGAGACUUAAAAUCUCUGGGCGAAAGCCGUGCCGGUUCGAGUCCGGCCGCGGGUACCA